This 375-nucleotide ribosomal RNA is filed under the name uncultured Alphaproteobacteria bacterium. RNAcentral's name for it is "bacterial SSU rRNA". It matches the Rfam family "Bacterial small subunit ribosomal RNA", at positions 521 to 896 of the family's 1533-position model. The record is from RNAcentral. Lineage: Bacteria; Pseudomonadati; Pseudomonadota; Alphaproteobacteria.
UAAUACGGAGGGGGCUAGCGUUGCUCGGAAUUACUGGGCGUAAAGCGCACGUAGGCGGCUAAUCCAGUUAGGCGUGAAAGGCCUGGGCUUAACCUAGGAACUGCGCUUAAUACUGAUUGGCUAGAAUCCGAGAGAGGGUAGUGGAAUUCCCAGUGUAGAGGUGAAAUUCGUAGAUAUUGGGAAGAACACCAGUGGCGAAGGCGGCUACCUGGCUCGGUAUUGACGCUGAGGUGCGAAAGCGUGGGGAGCGAACAGGAUUAGAUACCCUGGUAGUCCACGCCGUAAACGAUGAGUGCUAGUUGUCGGGCAGCAUGCUGUUCGGUGACACAGCUAACGCGUUAAGCACUCCGCCUGGGGACUACGACCGCAAGGUUA